RNAcentral lists this ribosomal RNA (118 nucleotides) under Chloroflexota bacterium. Lineage: Bacteria; Bacillati; Chloroflexota. The record is from RNAcentral.
GGCGUGAGCGAACGCGGCGGCGAUCCACCCGGUCCCAUCCCGAACCCGGUCGUGCCCCCCGCCAGCGCUGGCGGAGUACUGGGCGGGCAACUGCCUGGGAAGCGCGGCCCUCGCGCCU